AGGAAAAUAUUCUUUAUUUUCCACUCUUUAUUUUCCUUUCACCCUAAAAAAUUUCCCAAACAGAAUGUUAAGGUGGUAACCAAAGUUUCCACUUGAUGGGUAUGGACUUCUCUCUUUGUUGGAUACCUCGUCAAGCAAACAACAUUGCUCAUCAGUUAGCUAGAUCCUCUAAGUCUUUGAUUGUAAUGUGAUUUGGUCAGAGCCUUUUUUUGCUCUGCGUUCUUGGAUAGUUUCAGAUAAUGCUUUUUAGUAACGAAGUUUUCUUAUUUUAAAAAAAAAACGAAAAAGUUCCUACUUGAUAUAAGCAUCAAAGACAACAAAAUAGCACAAAUCAAAGUAUCGGAAAAAUAAAUUUCAAGAAGAGAAUGUCAUGCUUACAUCAUCUUUAAGGCUAUCACCAACCAUCAUGACUUCAUUAGGCUGAAAUUCCCAAGUUGAACAGAUAUGCAGGAGAGGAGCUGGGUCUGGUUUACAAGGACGGAACUCCCUGCUUAAUGCUGGAGAAAACAU
This 510-nucleotide unclassified non-coding RNA is filed under the name Hevea brasiliensis (rubber tree). The record is from RNAcentral. Lineage: Eukaryota; Viridiplantae; Streptophyta; Magnoliopsida; Malpighiales; Euphorbiaceae.